AGUGGCGGACGGGUGAGUAACACGUAAGAAUUUGCCUUUAGGAGGGGGAUAACAACUGGAAACGGUUGCUAAUACCCCAUAUGCUUUCGAGUGAAAUGGAUUUCCGCCUAAAGAGAAGCUUGCGGCUGAUUAGCUUGUUGGUGAGGUAAUGGCUCACCAAGGCGACGAUCAGUAUCUGGUUUGAGAGGACGAUCAGACACACUGGAACUGAGACACGGUCCAGACUCCUACGGGAGGCAGCAGUGGGGAAUUUUCCGCAAUGGGCGAAAGCCUGACGGAGCAAUACCGCGUGAGGGAUGAAGGCCUAUGGGUUGUAAACCUCUUUUUUCAGGGAGGAACAAAAUGACGUGUACCUGAAGAAUAAGCAUCGGCUAACUCCGUGCCAGCAGCCGCGGUAAGACGGGGGAUGCAAGUGUUAUCCGGAAUCACUGGGCGUAAAGCGUCUGUAGGUGGUUAAGUAAGUCAACUGUUAAAUCUUGAGGCUUAACCUCAAAAUCGCAGUCGAAACUGCUUGACUGGAGUAUAGUAGGGGUAAAGGGAAUUUCCAGUGGAGCGGUGAAAUGCGUAGAUAUUGGAAAGAACACCGAUGGCGAAGGCACUUUACUGGGCUAUUACUAACACUGAGAGACGAAAGCUAGGGUAGCAAAUGGGAUUAGAUACCCCAGUAGUCCUAGCUGUAAACAAUGGUUACUAGAUGUUG
RNAcentral lists this ribosomal RNA (700 nucleotides) under uncultured bacterium. RNAcentral's name for it is "bacterial SSU rRNA". It matches the Rfam family "Bacterial small subunit ribosomal RNA", at positions 94 to 825 of the family's 1533-position model. The record is from RNAcentral.